This 83-nucleotide transfer RNA is filed under the name Canis lupus familiaris (dog). It matches the Rfam family "tRNA". From Rfam's summary of the family: Transfer RNA (tRNA) molecules are approximately 80 nucleotides in length. Their secondary structure includes four short double-helical elements and three loops (D, anti-codon, and T loops). RNAcentral also lists the same sequence under 1 other name. Lineage: Eukaryota; Metazoa; Chordata; Mammalia; Carnivora; Canidae. The record is from Rfam by way of RNAcentral.
ACCUGAGUGGCUCAGUGGUUGAGCAUCUGCCUUUGGCUCAGGUGGUGAUCCCGGGGUCUUGGGAUCGAGUUCCACAUCAGGUU